GUGCUGCCGAUUUACUAAAGAACAAAUACAAAAUUUCUCCUAUGUCAUUGAUAUUUUUUAUCACAAGGUCCUAUUCUAUUCUAUUCUACCAUUUAGUGACCGCCUUCUAAUUGAAGAUUAUGUCACAGGAGGAAACUUACAACAAGACAUAGAUUGAAAAAUGUAAAAUUUAAAAAAAAAUACGAAGAGUUAAAAAAUAAUAGGUUUUGU
RNAcentral lists this long non-coding RNA (210 nucleotides) under Mytilus galloprovincialis (Mediterranean mussel). The record is from RNAcentral. Lineage: Eukaryota; Metazoa; Mollusca; Bivalvia; Mytilida; Mytilidae.